RNAcentral lists this ribosomal RNA (490 nucleotides) under uncultured bacterium. Its description in RNAcentral is "partial 16S ribosomal RNA". It matches the Rfam family "Bacterial small subunit ribosomal RNA", at positions 29 to 507 of the family's 1533-position model. The record is from RNAcentral.
AGUGAACGCUGGCGGUAGGCCUAACACAUGCAAGUCGAACGGCAGCACAGUAAGAGCUUGCUCUUACGGGUGGCGAGUGGCGGACGGGUGAGGAAUACAUCGGAAUCUACUUUUUCGUGGGGGAUAACGUAGGGAAACUUACGCUAAUACCGCAUACGACCUACGGGUGAAAGCAGGGGAUCUUCGGACCUUGCGCGAUUGAAUGAGCCGAUGUCGGAUUAGCUAGUUGGCGGGGUAAAGGCCCACCAAGGCGACGAUCCGUAGCUGGUCUGAGGAUGAUCAGCCACACUGGAACUGAGACACGGUCCAGACUCCUACGGGAGGCAGCAGUGGGGAAUAUUGGACAAUGGGCGCAAGCCUGAUCCAGCCAUACCGCGUGGGUGAAGAAGGCCUUCGGGUUGUAAAGCCCUUUUGUUGGGAAAGAAAAGCAGCAGGUUAAUACCCCGCUGUCCUGACGGUACCCAAAGAAUAAGCACCGGCUAACUUCGUG